This 258-nucleotide ribosomal RNA is filed under the name uncultured soil bacterium. RNAcentral describes it as "partial 16S ribosomal RNA". It matches the Rfam family "Bacterial small subunit ribosomal RNA", at positions 26 to 312 of the family's 1533-position model. The record is from RNAcentral.
AGAACGAACGCUGGCGGCAUGCCUAAUACAUGCAAGUCGAACGAGAUCUUCGGGUCUAGUGGCGCACGGGUGCGUAACGCGUGGGAAUCUACCCUUGGGUUCGGAAUAACAGUUGGAAACGACUGCUAAUACCGGAUGAUGACGAAAGUCCAAAGAUUUAUCGCCCAGGGAUGAGCCCGCGUAGGAUUAGCUAGUUGGUGAGGUAAAGGCUCACCAAGGCUACGAUCCUUAGCUGGUCUGAGAGGAUGAUCAGCCACA